This 484-nucleotide ribosomal RNA is filed under the name uncultured bacterium. Its description in RNAcentral is "partial 16S ribosomal RNA". It matches the Rfam family "Bacterial small subunit ribosomal RNA", at positions 30 to 507 of the family's 1533-position model. The record is from RNAcentral.
AUUGAACGCUGGCGGCAGGCCUAACACAUGCAAGUCGAGCGGAUGAAGGGAGCUUGCUCCUGGAUUCAGCGGCGGACGGGUGAGUAAUGCCUAGGAAUCUGCCUGGUAGUGGGGGAUAACGUCCGGAAACGGGCGCUAAUACCGCAUACGUCCUGAGGGAGAAAGUGGGGGAUCUUCGGACCUCACGCUAUCAGAUGAGCCUAGGUCGGAUUAGCUAGUUGGUGGGGUAAAGGCCUACCAAGGCGACGAUCCGUAACUGGUCUGAGAGGAUGAUCAGUCACACUGGAACUGAGACACGGUCCAGACUACUAAGGGAGGCAGCAGUGGGGAAUAUUAGACAAUGGGCGAAAGCCUGAUCCAGCCAGGCCGCGUGUGUGAAGAAGGUCUUCGGAUUGUAAAGCACUUUAAGUUGGGAGGAAGGGCAGUAAGUUAAUACCUUGCUGUUUUGACGUUACCAACAGAAUAAGCACCGGCUAACUUCGUG